UGACAUUAGUCUUCCAAGUCAAUCGGUGCCUGUUAUGGCAUUAACAAUACAGGCUUCAUUCAAUGGAUUUGUUAAUCUGCUGAAAAAAAAAGAAAGAAAUCCUUGUCACUUCCUGUAUCUGUUUAUAUUCACUGUUACUCCAGAAGCAUCCAAGGAGAUAUCUUGUGUAUGUCCAUUUGCCACAUCUGGAGAAAGGAAAUGACAGUCCUGAGAAAUCGUUAUACAAAAUUCCAAACAUUGGGAACAACAGGACGGGCAGCAAUGCAGUGACUGCGAGGGGGAUGACCUCUGUACACCAGUACACAGCCAUG
Pseudophryne corroboree (corroboree frog) is the source of this 311-nucleotide long non-coding RNA. RefSeq lists it as uncharacterized. Lineage: Eukaryota; Metazoa; Chordata; Amphibia; Anura; Myobatrachidae. The transcript is spliced from 3 exons. The record is from RefSeq and is a predicted model, not a curated record.